CAACGUAAGCAACCUGCCCCAAAGACCGGGAUAACAUUCCGAAAGGGAUGCUAAUACCGGAUGUGGCCAUACGGAUGCAUGUCUCGUAUGAUUAAACCGAGCAAUCGGCUUUGGGAGGGGCUUGCGGCCUAUCAGCUAGAUGGUGGGGUAACGGCCUACCAUGGCGACGACGGGUAGCUGGUCUGAGAGGACGGCCAGCCGGACUGGGACUGAGAUACGGCCCAG
RNAcentral lists this ribosomal RNA (225 nucleotides) under uncultured bacterium. Its description in RNAcentral is "partial 16S ribosomal RNA". It matches the Rfam family "Bacterial small subunit ribosomal RNA", at positions 113 to 334 of the family's 1533-position model. The record is from RNAcentral.